AGCUCCAGUAGCGUAUAUUAAAGUUGUUGCAGUUAAAAAGCUCGUAGUUGGAUUUCUGGCUCGACGGAGCUGACCCGCGGUGCAAACCGUGAGUGUCGGCCUUCUGUCUGCCAUCCUUCCAGAGAACGUUCCUACCCUUCACUGGGCCGGGUUCGCAAUCUGGGACUUUUACUUUGAGGAAAUUAGAGUGUUCAAAGCAGGCUUGCGCUGUGAAUACAUUAGCAUGGAAUAUCAACUUAGGACUUUGGUUCUAUUUUGUUGGUUUCUAGGACUGAAGUAAUGAUUGAUAGGGAUAGUUGGGGGUGCUAGUAUUUCGUGGCCAGAGGUGAAAUUCUUGGAUUCACGAAAGACUAACUUAUGCGAAAGCAUUCACCAAGGAUGUCUUCU
This 387-nucleotide ribosomal RNA is filed under the name uncultured eukaryote. Its description in RNAcentral is "SSU rRNA". It matches the Rfam family "Eukaryotic small subunit ribosomal RNA", at positions 587 to 972 of the family's 1831-position model. The record is from RNAcentral.